UCCCCGAUAGCUCAGUUGGUAGAGCAGCGGACUGUUAAUCCGCCUGUCGCUGGUUCGAGUCCAGCUCGGGGAG
This 73-nucleotide transfer RNA is filed under the name gamma proteobacterium IMCC2047. It matches the Rfam family "tRNA". From Rfam's summary of the family: Transfer RNA (tRNA) molecules are approximately 80 nucleotides in length. Lineage: Bacteria; Pseudomonadati; Pseudomonadota; Gammaproteobacteria. The record is from Rfam by way of RNAcentral.